RNAcentral lists this ribosomal RNA (397 nucleotides) under uncultured bacterium. RNAcentral's name for it is "partial 16S ribosomal RNA". It matches the Rfam family "Bacterial small subunit ribosomal RNA", at positions 523 to 918 of the family's 1533-position model. The record is from RNAcentral.
AUACGUAGGGGGCGAGCGUUGUCCGGAAUGAUUGGGCGUAAAGGGCGCGUAGGCGGCGCGGUAAGUCUGGAGUGAAAGUCCUGCUUUCAAGGUGGGAAUUGCUUUGGAUACUGCCGCGCUUGAGUGCAGGAGAGGUUAUCGGAAUUCCCGGUGUAGCGGUGAAAUGCGUAGAGAUUGGGAGGAACACCAGUGGCGAAGGCGACUUACUGGACUGUAACUGACGCUGAGGCGCGAAAGUGUGGGGAGCAACCAGGAUUAGAUACCCUGGUAGUCCACACUGUAAACGAUGAAUGCUAGGUGUAGGGGGUAUCGACCCCUUCUGUGCCGCAGUCAACACAAUAAGCAUUCCGCCUGGGGAGUACGGCCGCAAGGUUGAAACUCAAAGGAAUUGACGGGG